Molecule: long non-coding RNA, 554 nt
Organism: Talpa occidentalis (Iberian mole)
Lineage: Eukaryota; Metazoa; Chordata; Mammalia; Eulipotyphla; Talpidae
Exons: 3
Source: RefSeq, a predicted model, not a curated record
GCUGAAAUAAUAUGGAAUUUAGUUCUGCUGAGCUUACUAAAAAUGAAAUCACACUACAUGAGUAUAGUAGGCAGCCUCUAAAAUGGUCAUCAAUAUUCCUUGCCCUCCUGGCAAAUUCACAUACUUUCAUAAUGCCCUUCUUUUGAGGAUGGACUGGAUCUAGUGCUGGUUUCUGACAAAUAGAAUAUGGCAGGGGUGACGGAAUAUCACCCUUGGGUUAUAAAAUGACUAUGGCUUCCUUUCUUGGGUGACCUCAAGCCUGUUCUCUAUGGAUCACCCACUUGCCCUUGGAAGAUGCCACUGGCCAUGCCAGGAGGCCACCAUGUGGAGAGGCCCCUGUGACCAGGGAUCACAGCCUCCACCCUACAUGAGGGAGCUGGGAGACAGAAGCCCGAAGGUGGAGGCUUGAGCACAAGCCAGCAGGAGAAGGUCUGCAGAGCUGACAGUAAUCUCGAUUUGAUAAUGAAGCAACAAGACGCUCGAGAGAGUAGCUGCCUAACUAGUCUCACAGCAAAAGACAGGUCCCCUCCAAAGCUACCCCUCUUCCUUCUGCA